GGGCUCAUGAGGUAGUGGAUAGCCUGAUGGCCUUCGGAGCCAUAUGCCGGGGUUCGAAUCAGCCUUUUUCUUUUCUCUAAGAGAGAAAAGAAAAACGUUGGCGAAAAAGAAAAGAGAACGGCAGUUGCUCUGCAACUGUCUAUGCCUACCACAGGUAGGCAGUUUUUCUUCUUUUCCGCCAGUCGCUUUUCAAGGGCUGUCGAAAAUCCCCGUGAGCCCA
Molecule: transfer RNA, 220 nt
Filed under: Thermoplasmatota archaeon
Lineage: Archaea; Methanobacteriati; Thermoplasmatota
Description: Candidatus Thermoplasmatota archaeon (groundwater metagenome) tRNA-Arg
Source: RNAcentral